This 497-nucleotide ribosomal RNA is filed under the name uncultured bacterium. RNAcentral describes it as "partial 16S ribosomal RNA". It matches the Rfam family "Bacterial small subunit ribosomal RNA", at positions 28 to 507 of the family's 1533-position model. The record is from RNAcentral.
GAUGAACGCUGGCGGCGUGCCUAGUACAUGCCAGUCGAGCGAACAGACGAGGAGCUUGCUCCUCUGACGUUAGCGGCGGACGGGUGAGUAACACGUGGAUAACCUACCUAUAAGACUGGGAUAACUUCGGGAAACCGGAGCUAAUACCGGAUAAUAUAUUGAACCGCAUGGUUCAAUAGUGAAAGACGGUUUUGCUGUCACUUAUAGAUGGAUCCGCGCCGCAUUAGCUAGUUGGUAAGGUAACGGCUUACCAAGGCAACGAUGCGUAGCCGACCUGAGAGGGUGAUCGGCCACACUGGAACUGAGACACGGUCCAGACUCCUACGGGAGGCAGCAGUAGGGAAUCUUCCGCAAUGGGCGAAAGCUUGACGGAGCAACGCCGCGUGAGUGAUGAAGGUCUUCGGAUCGUAAAACUCUGUUAUUAGGGAAGAACAAAUGUGUAAGUAACUAUGCACGUCUUGACGGUACCUAAUCAGAAAGCCACGGCUAACUACGUG